Molecule: ribosomal RNA, 440 nt
Filed under: uncultured bacterium
Lineage: Bacteria
Description: partial 16S ribosomal RNA
Rfam family: Bacterial small subunit ribosomal RNA
Source: RNAcentral
CCUACGGGUGGCAGCAGUGAGGAAUAUUGGGCAAUGGGGGCAACCCUGACCCAGCCAUGCCGCGUGAAUGAAGAAGGUCUUCGGAUUGUAAAGCUCUAUCAGCAGGGAAGAAAAUGACGGUACCUGAGUACGAAGCCCCGGCUAACUACGUGCCAGCAGCCGCGGGAAUACGUCGGGGGCAAGCGUUAUCCGGAUUUACUGGGUGUAAAGGGAGCGUAGGCGGCAGUGCAAGUCUGGAGUGAAAGACGGGGGCGCAACCCCCGGACUGCUCUUGAAACUGUACGGCUGGAGUGCAGGAGAGGUAAGUGGAAUUCCUAGUGUAGCGGUGAAAUGCGUAGAUAUUAGGAGGAACACCAGUGGCGAAGGCGGCUUACUGGACUGUAACUGACGUUGAGGCUCGAAAGCGUGGGGAGCAAACAGGAUUAGAUACCCUUGUAGUC